UGUUAUAUAUAUAUUGUACAUGUUAAAUCGACGAAAAACUAAAUUGGCUUUAAGAUUAUGAAAACGUAUACAGUGUUCUACGGAGCCCCAGACAUGACAUGUAAAAAAAUAUAUAUAUAUACUAGUUCGUGCAUGAGCUACUAAUUUGUGUACGAAAUAGUUACAGCGUGCGCACGAAGAAGCAGUGCCUCCGUACUGGACUUGAGGGUAACCAAGUCGAACGCAUUUUUAUGGACUUGUUACAAACGACGCAGCCGAAAAGGCAAGACACAUGCGAUGGCUUCAGGGAAUUCAACACCCGCAAGUCGAGCGUCUUUUAAGAUUGCGAAGAAGAAAGGAGAAGGUGAUCAGCCUACUGUCCAACCCCAGCACUUGGUAUUUCUAAGUGGUCACCCAUCCAAGUACUAGCCAAGACAGACACUGCUUAGCUUCUGAAAGCAGACAAGUUCAGACAUUCUCAGGGAGGAGUAAUUGAACCUAUAAAUUGUUUUCAUGUGAUUAUGAAAACUUCCAAGAACCGACUGAGUGGUUGUGAAACCACGUAUGUUAUGAAAACAAACUUGACUGACUAAAUUGUCUUCAAUGAAUAUUAAAAACGUACCUUAAAAACACACAUAGUAUAGUAUUUUUCAAAAACACGUACACAACACUGACUGAAGAAUAUACUGCCUUCAAUGAUUACAAAAACACAUACGCUACAAAAACAUUGCAAUCCACAUAUGUUCAGUUGAUUGAAAUUGUUUUCAGUGAGUAUGAAAACACGUUCUUUUACGUUGACUGAACACCAAACCAUCUUCAAUAAUUACAAAAAAAGAUGUAUGUGUAAGAUGUACUGUAUGUUUCAAAGACAUCCUGUAAAAAUGCACAUUAAAAGUUGAAUUAUUUUUCCAUGUAUGAAAGUGACCUCAUAACUCCUGUGUGUAAACAGAACGCCCUCGUUGUUUUCUUGCAUCACGACAGUAUAAUUAUUUUAGCGUUGCUGCUGCUCUACUCUAGGUGUUUUUUCUACUGUGUUUUUGUGCAGGACUCCUGAGCUGCUGUCUGCUUUGGGGUAGAUACUCUCUAAUUCCUCCUUUUUUUUGUGCCAGAGGCAAAGAGCAUAAGAAUGAGCCAACAAACAAGCUUUGCUUAGAGUUUAAAGUGAACUUGUUCUGCUCUUGUAGCGGAAUUUGAGCCGUAACCCUUCUUUAAUCCAGCACUCUGCUUGUAAGAUUAAGCGCGGAUCUGCCGGAAUCGUCUGUUUGUUCGUCUGUUUUUAUGCAACUUCCCGUGGAACGGCUGAGGUUUUCUGUCUUUGUCAUAUUUCAUUCACUUUUAACAAAACGUGUUAUUUGUAUGCGGGGCCUUAAUCAGGGGUGGGUAGUAACGUGCUACAUUUACUCAAGGAACAUUUUGAGGAAACGAUACUUUUAACAAUAAUCUACGUGCCGCUCACAACUUUCAUUUAUCAAUAAUUGCGCCCACAAUCUAUUUUUAGACUUUCGUUUUCGACUUCCGCGUUGUGCGCCGUUGCUCCAAUCCAUAGUAAUGUUUGACUCAAGUUCACCAAUCAAACGCCAGAAGAAAGUCACGUCUACAAGUCAUGUCAAGUCUUUUAUUAGGCUUUGCAGGCCAAUCCAAGUGAGUCGUGACAUCCGCGCGGGACUCGUGUUUACAUUAAAACUACGAAAAUCAACAGCUUUAACAUUCAGCGUAAUUUUGUCACUGCCCAAACUUGGACAUUUCAGCCACCUUCUAACUUUAGAAAACACCAAGCGGUAAGUUUUCGCUGUUGUUUUGGCAGUUCAUAUGGCGACGUUAACCCUAUUUAAUGGUCACAAGUAACUG
Molecule: long non-coding RNA, 1827 nt
Organism: Phyllopteryx taeniolatus (common seadragon)
Lineage: Eukaryota; Metazoa; Chordata; Actinopteri; Syngnathiformes; Syngnathidae
Exons: 3
Source: RefSeq, a predicted model, not a curated record